Molecule: long non-coding RNA, 278 nt
Filed under: Salvia miltiorrhiza (redroot sage)
Lineage: Eukaryota; Viridiplantae; Streptophyta; Magnoliopsida; Lamiales; Lamiaceae
Description: long non-coding RNA (SMIL_LNC011813)
Source: RNAcentral
UUGGAAUAAUUCUAAUGGGUUUUUCCCUUGCAAAUUUUAGGUGAAAGCUAAUGACUAUUUGGAUUGAUGAGAAGCUGAAUAGCUUUAAAAGUGGAGCCUAGAGGUUCCAUUCUAAGACAGUUGGUACCACAGAGAAACCUAUUUUAAAAUAGUUGAUAUAAUAUACACCAUGUAAUAAAUUUUUUACUCAUGGUUGAGUUCCUUCACCAGAAUAUUCCUCGGUGAUAUUUGAAAUUUCAGAUUUGAAAUAAAGCAUUGUUAUAUUGGGAUUGAUCUCA